Molecule: ribosomal RNA, 404 nt
Filed under: uncultured bacterium
Lineage: Bacteria
Description: bacterial SSU rRNA
Rfam family: Bacterial small subunit ribosomal RNA
Source: RNAcentral
UGGGGAAUCUUGGACAAUGGGCGCAAGCCUGAUCCAGCCAUGCCGCGUGAGUGAAGAAGGCCUUAGGGUUGUAAAACUCUUUCGCCGGAGAAGAUAAUGACGGUAUCCGGAGAAGAAGCCCCGGCUAACUUCGUGCCAGCAGCCGCGGUAAUACGAAGGGGGCUAGCGUUGUUCGGAAUUACUGGGCGUAAAGCGUACGUAGGCGGAUUUGUAAGUAGGGGGUGGAAUCCCCAGGCUCAACCUGGGAACUGCCUUCUAGACUGCAAGUCUUGAGAUCAGGAGAGGCGAGUGGAAUUCCGAGUGUAGAGGUGAAAUUCGUAGAUAUUCGGAGGAACACCAGUGGCGAAGGCGACUCGCUGGACUGAUACUGACGCUGAGGUACGAAAGCGUGGGGAGCAAACAGG